CAGAGAGGGGACCCAGAAAGGAAGAGAGGACAGUACUGAAGCCAGUGUGUAGCUCAGCUAUUCCCGUCCUCCAGGUGGAAUUCUUGACUCGGGGUGAAAGCAAUUUCUGAAUAAACGGGAUGUUUCCUCCCAAGCCCAACACAAAAUAUGUGGGAUUCAGGAAUACCCUGCUCUCUUAACAAUUUGUUCUUAGCAACUAUACUGUGUCAUGCAGUCACUGACGAUGACAUCCCCAACAAACGUCCCAAUGACGGCUAAAUCAAAGCAGCGACCAAAAGCGUGCCAUAAGAGAGGUAACAUCUGUAAACUUCUAUUGUACUAUAAAAUAGAAAACUAUUCUUCAAGUCCUAUACAAUGACUUCAUACUGUGAUUACAAGAGGAGGCCCCGUUUGCUAUAAAAUCUAAAGAUGGAUAAUAUAAUGUCCUCCUGUAUUGUACAUUCAACCUAAACUAACAUACUGUCUUUAAUAAGCAUUAAUUACAUUUUUAUUUAAGAAACUUUUUUUUACGGUGUUGCAGUUUGGAAGUGUUUUCAAAGGCAAAUAGGAAGGCUAAUAUCUGAGGGAAAAAACUACUAAAAAAAGUUGGAGCAGGUGUCCCCUUUUCUUUAGGCCUAUUCCCACGGCAAACGGGACCUUUCUGUUCCGUUGUGCUGCCUUUGAGGCUGCAUCCAGGGCAGUCACUGGAGAAGCGGUGAUGCCGUGGCAAUGACGGCACGGCCCCGACGCGCAGCUAGCUGUAACCUUAGGUAAGGGAGCCGUUCAUUGCCAGGCAGGAACCUGGCAUUCCCAGAGUCAUGGUAACCUGCCCAAGGCCCCACAGGGUUCGAAUGCAGGCUCUUUUCACGCUACAGCCACCAUUCUUUCAACUAAGCCGUGUCCUUUACUGGUAGAAAUAGCGCAAUAAAUAGCACACGGCAGAGAGAACGGGAUACGGGCAUUAACUGAUUGCAACAAAAGUGGAAAUCGUUGAAAAAAGGACCAGCUGUGCUUUUUACCCCUUGCUAGGCAGAGAGAGCCAGGGCAGGGCUGAGGCAGAUGCCCAGGUCCUGGGCAGGUACCAAACUCUGAGGCCGGCACCCGUCCCACCGGGGAGCAGAGGACUCCUUGCCCAGUCACCCAUCUUGGGUCUGUCUUUUCAUUUCCAUCCUCUGGGCCCAGCUUGGGUCUGGGAAGGGGAACACGCGUCCUUUGAGAGCUCACUCUGUGUUAAGGGCGCUGUGGCCCACUUUGGUCCGCACAGCAGCUCUGCGCGUUCAGUAUCAUCAGUUCUGUCCCACAGAUGGGGAAGCAGAAUUUGUUAAGUGAGAGGCAGUAUGGCUCGUAGUUAGAGGCAUGGCCUCUGGCCUGAGCUGCUGGAAUCCUGACUUUCUACUCACUAGACUAGAGGAAAGGAAACAGCUUUCCCAAAGCAGUGUUCUUUCUACACGCAGGGAUAACAGGAGUGUUUCCGUGGUAGGGCUUUUGUGAAGAUGUACAGGUGUUGCUUGCAAAGCUUUUAGCACGGUGCACAGCACUCAGUAAGGGCUUACCCCAUGCCAGCGAUGGCCACCGUUAAGAGUUUGGGCUGGGAUUUAGCCCCAGCUCAGCCUGACCCUCUCCACACCAUCAGAGCACCACAUGUUAAAUCCCCGCUCUGUGGUUUGUUUACAAGCUGCAUGACCUUAGACAGGUCACUUUCCUUGGGCCUCAGUUUCCCUUACUGUAAAGUGGGGAAUAUUACUUUACAAGGUGAUUGUUGAGGCUCAAGGGAAUUAGAAGUAAAAACACUGACUCAACUACUGAAAGGAAAAUGCAGAGUUAAGCGUUAGCUGGUGUUUUAGUAAGUGUUGGUCGGUGCGUUAGGAUUUGUCUUGGUUCUCUUUGGGGUUUAAAGUACAGAACCCUAACUCCUGACUCCCCUGGAGACUGGAUAAGGGAAAAGAUAAACACCCGAUAAAUGCACAAGACAGGAACGAAGGGCAGUGGGAAGGGAGCUGACUUGUAUUGACACCUACUGCAUGCCUGGCCUAAUGACAGGCAUUUCAGAGAUGUAUUCCAGGUGUACCAGCCCCCCAGCCUGUGACUAGAAAAUCUUGGCGCGUUUGCUUGCAUUGGCCCCCACCGCUUGAUCUGAGUGUUCCCUGGGUAUUUGGAGGCCUCGUCACUCUCCGUGUCUACCCCACCCUUCCUCUUCUGCUUGAAUCGCCAUGUCUGUGCCCACUGCCGCUACCCAGCAUGACCCCUGGUCUGUGAGGGGGCCGCCUUCCUCCACCAGGGCACUGAACACUGGCACACAGACCUUCCAGGCCGAGGAGAGGAGGGUGCACCUCUCCACCUCCAUGGGCCCCAGGGCAGCUCUGUUUCUGCCCACAGUCUUACAGAACCUUUCGACUUCUGACUCUCCAGCUUCUAGAUCUUAGAACUCAACCCAGUCCCAGGGGCUGGAUGAGAAGUCCCGUAUCAUCUCUCUUUCUCUGCUCUCUCCUCAGACCAAGCCCCCAAUCCAACAUCUCCUUUACUCUCUCUCCUGCAAAAUAAAAGUAUCUGGGCAUUAUCAAUGGAUAUCAAAAAUACUGAGAACGUGGGUGGGAGUAUCACUUGCCCUAAUAAUGCCUGGAUUCAGGGUUCAGCAAUUCCCAAAUGCCAUGCUGCAUCCUUACCAAGAUGCUGUGAGACAGAUACUAUGAACCCACUUUGCAGGUGAAGACACUGAGGCUCAGAGAGGAGAAGCUGGGUCAAGGAUAUUCAGCUAGUAAGUGGCCGAGCUGGGGUUCAGACUCAGGGCUAUUUGAGUACCACCCUGCUUCUGGAAGCCGAAGGGAUGAUGCUCUGACAGUGUCAGGGUGAGCUGUGGGCAGGUGGUGGGGGUCCCCGGGUGCCUUCCCCCCAGGCACACAGGCAUUAGCUGAUGCUUCAGGCCUGCUUUCCAAGUUCAUCUGAUGCACCCAUCCCAACCUCAGCUUUAAUUAUGUCUGCGCUUGCGAAAGCCAAGCAAUUCAGCCUUCCCAGAAACGCAGGCUCCCUGAAUCUUCCAGGGCAUUUCAACAUGCAGGAGCCCCAGGGAAAAGUGGCCUCUCCGUUCUUGCUUCUCUUGUUGAAGCGGCUUUCAUCUGGGUCUGCAGGAGAACUUCCUCCCACCCUUUCUUUCCUCUCCUUCUUUCUUUAUUAUUUUCUAGGAACUUAAAUGCAAAAUGCCCAAGAUAACGCAACUCCCAUCAUUUUCUUCCCUGCCCUUUGUGUCUCUGAAUCUUCAAAUCACAUGCCAUGCCAGCCAGUUUAGCAUAAGAAAUUAAAUUAAUUUUCAUGCUUCGGAUGUAAAUGCCUUUAUUAAUAAUUUAAAGCACAUUUAUUUAUGCAGUUUGAUAUGUUUCAGGUUCAGGGAAGCAAUUAAGUUUUGCCCAUGCAGCUGAUCAGCAGACAGCGUCUUCCGUGCCUGCUGCCCCUCCAGAGCGGCUGCAGGAGAGUCACGUGCACAGAACCUCACCCCUCUGGCCUGCCCACUGCCUCUGUGAGACGUGGGCUUUUGAAAUGAGGAGAGCACACUUAUUUGCUGGGGCCCGACUCAAGGAAGGCCAAUUUCUUUCUCAGAAUUGCCCUGGGUUAUUAGACUUGACCUUCAAAAGUCCUCCCCUCAACUAGUUCCUCCCCUCAACUAGUUCCUGGCGAGGCUGUCAUCCUCUAAAAGCCACCUUUAGAUUUUACUCUGGGAAGCAAUUUUACAUCUGUUGAGGGCUUGGCUGCUUGAGAGUGAGAAGAGCUGGCUUGGCCACUUAGGAACUGGUGAGCAUGGACAACUUGUCCCACUGCGUUCACCUGUUUCCUUAUCUGAAAAAUGAGGAAAUGAUAUUUCCCUUAAUAAGGAUGCUGUGAACUUUGAGUAGCAAGAGAAUGUACAUGAAAGCACUUAGCUGGUCUACCCACCUUUCCUUUUCAAUGGCCUUGCCCUGUCCCCUUCCCAGGCCUGUGCUUGGGCUGUGUCUGCUCCCACCCCCACUGCCACCUGUGACACUAUUCCUUCUCAUCUUCAUAUCUCAGCCCCACCCCACGCUUUGUAAUCAAAACACUUUGUAUUCACUUAUGCUUGGUACUAUCCAAAGAUCUUUCGCAUCCCUGAUAUCAUUUUAUCAUCAGCACGAAUGCUUUAAACAGAGAUGGAAUCUGAGUUCCCAGGAGGCGUAACUUUCCAGAGACAGAUUAGAAUUCAAAAAUGUUGUCGGGACCCCUGUGCACCAUGGACUGCGCGGGAUACUAUGGAAUGCGCGUGGAGCACACCAUGAUGACCUGGGUGUGUCUCUAGGGUCUCACUAGGGGGACCAAGAGAAAGCAGCGCCCCCUGCCCCUCACUCGGACCCUACUCUGCUCAGUGUGUGCUGCAUGUUCAGAAACUGACCAGGAGUCCAGGACUGAAGCUGGCUGGGACGCCUUGGGCACGUCUUCUCAGUCUUAUCAAUCAGAUCCCAAGAUCAGGUCUUCUCCACCCAGGUCUCCACGGAGUGGGACCUGGAACCAUCCUCGACUUCCCUCUCCCUCACCCCCACCUGUAGUGCAUCGCCCAGCCUUGCUGAUUUCGUGUCUCUGGAGUGCGCCCACUUCUCUGCCUCUUGCUGUUACCACCCGCCUCUAGAGCAUCAUCAUCUCUCGUGUAGACCCCUGCAACAGCUUCCAAUGGGUCUCCCUCGGCCACCUCUGCACCACCAAGCCAUUCCCCCACUUACUGGCACCCUCCUCACCACACGGACACAUCUGAAAGCUCCAAAGCCUCCUCAUUGCCCCAGACCAAGGACAAAGGCUUUAUCAUAUCCCAUAACUCACCGCAUGGUGUGGCCCUCCGUUCCUUUUAGCUGUCUUCCAUAAAGAUCUUGGUCCCGGAGGCCAGAGUGACCUUGGGCAAGACAUGGCACCUCACUGAGCUUCAUCUGAAAAAUGGGGGCAGAGCAUCUCUCCAUGGAGUUAUGAUAAGGAGGAAAGGAGAUGAAUUAUGAAGUGUCUAGGAGGCAGAAAAUUCCAGCUGGCUCUGCAGGGUCCAGGCGCCCCCCUGCCUUCUCUCUGCGUGUGUGCCUAGAAUAGAAGCUGCCAAGGUGUUGACGUGCCUCUGACGACCUUCCAGUCGAGGAAGCUGCGGGAGGGAUGGCGGUGCGGACAUGUGCUGAGUUUCCCUCUCAUCUCGUGCUCGUCACUCGGCCCCCACAGGCAGGCACUGGAGGUGCUCCCAGCCAGCUGGGUGGGCUCCAGGCAGC
Molecule: non-coding RNA, 5219 nt
Organism: Delphinapterus leucas (beluga whale)
Lineage: Eukaryota; Metazoa; Chordata; Mammalia; Artiodactyla; Monodontidae
Source: RefSeq, a predicted model, not a curated record